CUUUGGUGGCGACCGGCGCACGGGUGCGUAACGCGUAUGCAACCUACCCUUUAACAGGGGGAUAACACUGAGAAAUCGGUACUAAUUCCCCAUAACAUUCGAGAAGGCAUCUUCUUGGGUUAAAAACUCCGGUGGUUAAAGAUGGGCAUGCGUUGUAUUAGCUAGUUGGUGAGGUAACGGCUCACCAAGGCAACGAUACAUAGGGGGACUGAGAGGUUAACCCCCCACAUUGGUACUGAGACACGGACCAA
This 251-nucleotide ribosomal RNA is filed under the name uncultured bacterium. RNAcentral describes it as "partial 16S ribosomal RNA". It matches the Rfam family "Bacterial small subunit ribosomal RNA", at positions 83 to 334 of the family's 1533-position model. The record is from RNAcentral.